RNAcentral lists this ribosomal RNA (450 nucleotides) under uncultured bacterium. RNAcentral's name for it is "partial 16S ribosomal RNA". It matches the Rfam family "Bacterial small subunit ribosomal RNA", at positions 354 to 796 of the family's 1533-position model. The record is from RNAcentral.
GUGGGGAAUUUUGGACAAUGGGCGAAAGCCUGAUCCAGCCAUUCCGCGUGCAGGAUGAAGGCCCUCGGGUUGUAAACUGCUUUUGUACAGAACGAAAAAGCUCCGGCUAAUACCUGGAGUCCAUGACGGUACUGUAAGAAUAAGCACCGGCUAACUACGUGCCAGCAGCCGCGGUAAUACGUAGGGUGCAAGCGUUAAUCGGAAUUACUGGGCGUAAAGCGUGCGCAGGCGGUUUUGUAAGACAGAGGUGAAAUCCCCGGGCUCAACCUGGGAACUGCCUUUGUGACUGCAAGGCUGGAGUGCGGCAGAGGGGGAUGGAAUUCCGCGUGUAGCAGUGAAAUGCGUAGAUAUGCGGAGGAACACCGAUGGCGAAGGCAAUCCCCUGGGCCUGCACUGACGCUCAUGCACGAAAGCGUGGGGAGCAAACAGGAUUAGAAACCCUAGUAGUCC